RNAcentral lists this long non-coding RNA (840 nucleotides) under Diabrotica virgifera virgifera (western corn rootworm). Its description in RNAcentral is "uncharacterized LOC114334881". Lineage: Eukaryota; Metazoa; Arthropoda; Insecta; Coleoptera; Chrysomelidae. The record is from RNAcentral.
GGUCGCGUUCACCAGAAUAAUCCGAGUGCAAUCCGAUUAAUUUGCGCUGAAACGCUGACAGUUUUUUUACUAGUGAACGACUGACGUUUGACAUUCGAUUGAGAGUGUUCUGUGUUCCAUUUGUUUAUGUUUUUAUUCUUUGUUUAUAUAAUUUAUAACCUAAACCUAGACAGUUUUGUUUUUAUUUUAAAUAAAACUGAAACUGUCUAAACUAAAAUGGAUAAUAUUCUUGAAGAACUUUUGUUUGGGGACGAAAUUAGCAAAUGCCGUUAUACAUUUAGCAGAUGUACCUACCUCAAAUUAUUCCAGAAGGAUGAGAUGAAAUUAAAUAUAUAUAAACCAUAAUUCAAUAUCCAAUUUAGAGAACAUUUUCGUAUGUCCAGAACUACUUUCCAGGAACUAUUUAAUUGUAUUGGUCAUAUCCACCAAUUUGAAAACAGAAUAAUUCUAUUGGAAAAAAUUAAUGUUUAUGAUGUGGAUGCUAAGUAAACCAGAUAAUUUGUUGCUGGGGAUACGUUUGGUUUGCCAAAGAGCUCUGGACAUAAGAUUUUCACCCAAAUAAUAUAGAAUUACAAAAAAUUGGAAAUAACUAAUCUUGAAUAUCAAUGUGUAUAUUGAGUUUAAUUUUAUUGUAAAUAUUCUAUAAUAUAAUUUUAUUGUAAAUAUUGUAUUAACACAUUUGUGGACACAUUUUCAUAUGCAGACAGUAAUUUCCCUUUGUAAGUACAUGCAUAUAUAGUCGUAUCUGCGAAUGGGUUAAUUGUAAAUCGUAAUCAAUAAAAAAUUUUUGUGAAUCAAUAAAAAACUGGUUUGUUUGAAAAUAAAUGUAGUACAAAUGUG